Molecule: long non-coding RNA, 1388 nt
Filed under: Pogona vitticeps (central bearded dragon)
Lineage: Eukaryota; Metazoa; Chordata; Lepidosauria; Squamata; Agamidae
Description: lncRNA (ENSPVIG00000013553.1)
Source: RNAcentral
GCCCAGGCUUUGAUUACUUGUAGAGAUCGCUAUAAAAGCCUUCUACCCACUCAGCAACUUCCUUGUACUGUACUGGUAGCAGCUACCUAUAUCUUGAAGGAAGGGCACAAAACCAGAAGGGAAGCUGGAAUUUGCAUGUGGGGUUUCAUGGCCAAAAUUUACUUUAUAAUACCUGGUACAUAAGAGCUUUUCAGUUUAGUGAGAAAUGUUCAAGAAGUGGUUGAUUCGCACUCUUUCCAUAAUUAGGAUGGACGGUGAUGUCUAUAAGGGUGCAGCAAAAUAUUUUGCCAUCUCGUGGAUUGAGAACAAUAAUUUUACAGUUCUUCUUCCUCACCUGUGGGGAGAAAACAAACAAGGAUUUGUAUCCCUGAUGCCAUGCUCAUCACCUGGGAAAAUAACAUACGUCAGCUUGAGGUCCAUCUAUCCAUGCUACAGUUCCUCCAGGAAGAUAGAGUGGCUCUGGAUACAGCAAAGCAAUAGAGGGAAGGUACCUCUAGGAAGGAGGGAGACACAACAAGCAGGAGGCAAGCACUUGAAACAGUGUAACACAGAGAAGCAGGUCUACCAGGAUUAAGCAUGCUGUAUCGUAGGACCCAGGUAAGCACUGGCUUAAAUCUUGUUGCUUAGCGUAGUAGAACACUACAGCAGGCCCAUUGAAUCAGGAGGCAAUCUGGUCAGCCAACACCUCUCUAAGUUUCAUUGAUUCCAUGGCUUAAGACUGUAUGACUUACUAUGCUAAGCAACAGGAUUUCAGCCAAUGUCAGGCUCUCUCCUUCACAUCGUGGAACACUGGAGAAAAGACUACAUCAGAAGGAAAAACUACCAGAGUUUGGAAGGCCAUCUGCAUGGAAUUGUUAGCUGUGGCUUGCUUGCACUGGCAGGGGGUGGAUUAGAUGUUCCCUUCCCACUCUAUAAUUUUAUGAUUCUGUAGCUGAAAUCCUCUUGCGUAGUUAAGCAAAUGACAUAACUUUUUGACGCAAAUUGCCAUAAGGUAAGAAAUGGCCAUAGACAUUACAUAUUGCAAGCCAACUCAGUAAGCAACAAAUAAUGUCUACAAAGAUUUCUUAACUCAAGACAUUUCAUUUCCAGAAGUUACACUUAUGUGAAUAAUUGUGGAACAGGAUUUCAGCUUAUGACCUGCUUUUGUCGAAAAGCGGGGAGGAGAGAUUAAUGAGAGCAACUGACCUUCAACUUCUGAUAGGAGCAAAUCACGAUUUCAGCCCUGCUUCCCCCUCUCCUUCUCUACUCUGGCCACAAGGUGGAGAUGGAAGCAUUUGCUUCUCUUUGAAAUAUCCCUUUAAAAAGUUAAAUCCAGAACUGUAUAAACUGUGAUUAGUCUACACUUUACUAAAAUGUGCCCAGCUACAAACCAUGGUUUAUACAGAUCA